Molecule: ribosomal RNA, 518 nt
Filed under: uncultured bacterium
Lineage: Bacteria
Description: bacterial SSU rRNA
Rfam family: Bacterial small subunit ribosomal RNA
Source: RNAcentral
AGAGUUUGAUUAUGGCUCAGGAUGAACGCUAGCUACAGGCUUAACACAUGCAAGUCGAGGGGCAGCAUUGGAGUAGCAAUACUUCAGAUGGCGACCGGCGCACGGGUGAGUAACACGUAUCCAACCUGCCGCUUACUCGGGGAUAGCCUUUCGAAAGAAAGAUUAAUACCCGAUGGUAUAAAGAGUUCGCAUGUUCUCUUUAUUAAAGAAUUUCGGUAAGCGAUGGGGAUGCGUUCCAUUAGAUAGUUGGCGGGGUAACGGCCCACCAAGUCUACGAUGGAUAGGGGUUCUGAGAGGAAGGUCCCCCACAUUGGAACUGAGACACGGUCCAAACUCCUACGGGAGGCAGCAGUGAGGAAUAUUGGUCAAUGGACGAGAGUCUGAACCAGCCAAGUAGCGUGAAGGAUGACUGCCCUAUGGGUUGUAAACUUCUUUUAUAAGGGAAUAAAGUGAGGGACGUGUCCCUUUUUGUAUGUACCUUAUGAAUAAGGAUCGGCUAACUCCGUGCCAGCAGCAGC